This 427-nucleotide ribosomal RNA is filed under the name uncultured bacterium. Its description in RNAcentral is "bacterial SSU rRNA". It matches the Rfam family "Bacterial small subunit ribosomal RNA", at positions 917 to 1359 of the family's 1533-position model. The record is from RNAcentral.
GGACCCGCACAAGCGGUGGAGCGUGUUCUUUAAUUCGAUGCUAAACGAAGAACCUUACCAAGGCUUGACAUCCCGUAGCCGAUUUCCGAAAGGGAAUCCUCAUUUAGUUGGACGGUGACAGGUGAUGCAUGGCCGUCGUCAGCUCGUGUCGUGAGAUGUUUGGUUAAGUCCAUCAACGAGCGCAACCCUUGCUGUUAGUUGUAUUUUUCUAGCAGGACUGCCUCUGUAAAGAGGAGGAAGGAGGGGAUGAUGUCAGGUCAGUAUUUCCCUUACGCCUUGGGCCAGAAACGCGCUACAAUGGCCGGUACAACGGGCAGCUAAGCAGUAAUGCGGAGCUAAUCCCAUCAAAACCGGUCCCAGUUCGGAUUGAGGGCUGAAACUCGCCUCAUGAAGUCGGAAUCGCUAGUAAUCGCAAGUCAGCAAAUUG